Lactuca sativa (garden lettuce) is the source of this 244-nucleotide non-coding RNA. The record is from RefSeq and is a predicted model, not a curated record. NCBI's taxonomy places the organism in Eukaryota, Viridiplantae, Streptophyta, Magnoliopsida, Asterales, Asteraceae.
UAAUCAUCCAUCAUACGCAUAGAGAAACAAAACGUCGCCUGGUGCUUAGAAACUCGUUGUCGUUGGUCUCGUUCUAUGGGAAAAAUCAAUGCCUACCUGAAAUACGUCUCCCAUAAAUCAAAAGAAAAGAGUGCAAGUCUCAAAGAGUAAAGACUUAUUUGAAUUUAUUUUUUAAUCUGAUUAAGUUAUUAUGUAUCGGACAUCUCAUUUAUUGAAAUUUGGAUUUGUAUUUUUUGUAUCUGAA